ACCCUCUCGGCCUCCCCAGCCAUCUCUUUCCACCUGGCACUGAGCCCUGCAUCCUCACAGGACCCCAUACCUACCCCCAGGGGGCGCUCUAGCAGCAGAGGCUGGAGGCACCCAAAAGCCAGGCGCAGCCAGGCCUGGAGGUUUUUGGCAUGUGGGUCACUGAGACCCGUGAGGUUCCAGAGUGAGCGCAGAUGGGCAUUAGCAUCCAUCCUGGGUCAGGAGCCGGAGAGCUGGAGGAGUUGGCCUCUAUUCCUGCAGAAUCAGGAAUGCCUCUGAUGAGCCGGUUCUCAACAGGUCAGCUUGCGGCUGAGCUGCGCCUGCGCACAACUUGAUGUGCGGAUGAGAGAUCCGGCAGCCCAGAGGCACCCCCUUGUCUGCUGACCUUCCUGACCGAAGAAGUACCUUGGACUUCAGGGACUGAUUACUGUGACACUGAGACCCUGUUGUCAGCAUUUCUGGAACGCACAUCCUGUUAUCUGUGUGGGCAAAUGAGUGUCAUCCAAAUAUAUCUGAGCCAUACUGCUUCAGCCUCAAGGCCUGGUUUCCUACAGUGCCG
RNAcentral lists this long non-coding RNA (556 nucleotides) under Capra hircus (goat). RNAcentral describes it as "lncRNA (ENSCHIG00000002037.1)". The record is from RNAcentral. Lineage: Eukaryota; Metazoa; Chordata; Mammalia; Artiodactyla; Bovidae.